This 95-nucleotide transfer RNA is filed under the name Streptomyces xanthophaeus. RNAcentral's name for it is "tRNA-Ala". Lineage: Bacteria; Bacillati; Actinomycetota; Actinomycetes; Kitasatosporales; Streptomycetaceae. The record is from RNAcentral.
CGCGGUGUUGUCGGUGGCGAAGACCUCCGCCGUCGCGUCGCAGGCGGGGCCCGCGGGCCCCGCCUGCGCGGUUCCGGUACCCGCCGCCGCGACCA